RNAcentral lists this ribosomal RNA (484 nucleotides) under uncultured bacterium. Its description in RNAcentral is "partial 16S ribosomal RNA". It matches the Rfam family "Bacterial small subunit ribosomal RNA", at positions 30 to 507 of the family's 1533-position model. The record is from RNAcentral.
AUUGAACGCUGGCGGCAGGCCUAACACAUGCAAGUCGAGCGGAUGAAGGGAGCUUGCUCCUGGAGUCAGCGGCGGACGGGUGAGUAAUGCCUAGGAAUCUGCCUGGUAGUGGGGGAUAACGUCCGGAAACGGGCGCUAAUACCGCAUACUUCCUGAUGGAGAAAGUGGGGGAUCUUCGGACCUCACGCUAUCAGAUGAGCCUAGGUCGGAUUAGCUAGCUGGUGGGGUAAAGGCCUACCAAGGCGACGAUCCGUAACUGGUCUGAGAGGAUGAUCAGUCACACUGGAACUGAGACACGGUCCAGACUCCUACGGGAGGCAGCAGUGGGGAAUAUUGGACAAUGGGCGAAAGCCUGAUCCAGCCAUGCCGCGUGUGUGAAGAAGGUCUUCGGAUUGUAAAGCACUUUAAGUUGGGAGGAAGGGCAGUAAGUUAAUACCUUGCUGUUUUGACGUUACCAACAGAAUAAGCACCGGCUAACUUCGUG